This 773-nucleotide ribosomal RNA is filed under the name uncultured Neocallimastigales. RNAcentral describes it as "partial large subunit ribosomal RNA". It matches the Rfam family "Eukaryotic large subunit ribosomal RNA", at positions 22 to 635 of the family's 3401-position model. Lineage: Eukaryota; Fungi; Neocallimastigomycota; Neocallimastigomycetes; Neocallimastigales. The record is from RNAcentral.
UAUCUCUGUAGAGUCUGCAUAUCAAUAAGCGAGGAAAAGAAACUAACUAGGAUUCCCUCAGUAACGGCGAGUGAAGCGGGAAGAGCUCAAAUCUGAAAUCUUCAAGGUUCUACCUUGACGAAUUGUAGUUUAAAGAAGUGUUUUCUGUUGGUGUUUUGGUAAAAGUUCUUUAGAAUAGGACAUCAUAGAGGGUGAGAAUCCCGUAUUUGACCAUUACUUCCAGCGUUGUGAUACACUUUCAAAGAGUCGGAUUGUUUGGGAAUGCAGUCCAAAAUGGGUGGUAAAUUUCAUCUAAAGCUAAAUAUUGGCGAGAGACCGAUAGCGGACAAGUACCGUGAGGGAAAGAUGAAAAGAACUUUGAAAAGAGAGUUAAACAGUACGUGAAAUUGUCAAAAGGGAAGCGCUUGACACCAGUGUUGUUUUCUCGAAAAUCAAUUAAAAAAAGUUGGAUUUUGUAUUGUUAAGACCUUAUCAGCUUACUGUACUCUUUUCUUGCUUUUUUUAAUGCACUUUUCGUUUAACAAGUCAACAUCAAUUUCUUUUGUUGUAAAAGAGUCAUUGGAAGGUGGCUUUCACUUCGGUGAAAGUGUUUAUAGCCUUUGGCUUCUGCAAUCGGAGAGAUUGAGGUCUGCAGCGUAGAUCCUUCGGGGCUAGAUACGUAGAUGCUAAGUUAUAGUUUUUUAUAGACAACUUGUUGACUAUAAUUAAUCAUGUAGCUUACUCGUUUGCGCUAUUUUACCUACGCUUAGGAUGUUGAAGAUGUAGCACAUCAU